RNAcentral lists this ribosomal RNA (253 nucleotides) under uncultured bacterium. RNAcentral's name for it is "partial 16S ribosomal RNA". It matches the Rfam family "Bacterial small subunit ribosomal RNA", at positions 524 to 776 of the family's 1533-position model. The record is from RNAcentral.
UACGUAGGGUGCGAGCGUUGUCCGGAAUUAUUGGGCGUAAAGGGCGCGUAGGCGGUUUGUCGCGUCGGGAGUGAAAACCAGGUGCUUAACACCUGGCUUGCUUUCGAUACGGGCAGACUAGAGGUAUGCAGGGGAGAACGGAAUUCCUGGUGUAGCGGUGAAAUGCGCAGAUAUCAGGAGGAACACCGGUGGCGAAGGCGGUUCUCUGGGCAUGACCUGACGCUGAGGAGCGAAAGUGUGGGGAGCGAACAGG